UGGGCGUAAAGCGCGCGCAGGUGGUUUCUUAAGUCUGAUGUGAAAGCCCACGCCUCAACCGUGGAGGGUCAUUGGAAACUGGGAGACUUGAGUGCAGAAGAGGAAAGUGGAAUUCCAUGUGUAGCGGUGAAAUGCGUAGAGAUAUGGAGGAACACCAGUGGCGAAGGCGACUUUCUGGUCUGUAACUGACACUGAGGCGCGAAACCGUGGGGAGCAACCAGGAUUAAAUACCC
Molecule: ribosomal RNA, 233 nt
Filed under: Bacillus cereus
Lineage: Bacteria; Bacillati; Bacillota; Bacilli; Caryophanales; Bacillaceae
Description: partial 16S ribosomal RNA
Rfam family: Bacterial small subunit ribosomal RNA
Source: RNAcentral